UCUGGAUUCCAUUCCGUCUUCCUUGAGGGCCCCACCCUCAUCCCGGCACGUGAUGACGUAGGACGUAAGGACGCCCCCCCCCGCCGGUAGCCAUCUUCGUGCAUAGGCAAACUUAUUGUAGCUAGACUGUACAAAGUAUAUCAAGAUAUGCCAAAUAUUGAGCUUAACUUCACCUGUUUGAGAGACGGUGUUUCUUUUAGCUUGCAACACCAUGAAAAAAUUACUGAGACACUAGGAAUGCUGUGAACUGAGAAAGUUUGGGACCUUUGGCAUAACUAAAUCCUUCAUUUAACAGAUGGAGUCUCAGUCUGUCACUAAGGCUGGAGUGCAGUGGCGCGAUCUCGGCUCACUGCAACCUCCACCUCCCGGGUUCACGCGAUUCUCCAGCCUCAGCCUUCCACGUAGCUGGGACUACAGGUGCAUGCCACCACACCCAGUGUUGUGAACCACUUGUCAUGGGAUAACCAAAAUUAAACCUGGAAUCGCAGAAGAAACAAAUUUUUUGAAGAAAUUGGAUGUACUUUUUUAAAAUUUUUCAUUCAACUAAAACUUUGUUAACUGUUUCUUGGUUGUGGUCUUCUCUAAAUUGUAAUCUUUGGCAUUCACUUCCAAAGUAUCCACCACUAAACUUCAUAACAUUUAUUGUGUCUCUUCAUCAUUAAACUUUGAUGAAUUUACAGAGUGUCUUUUGAAAUUAUGUUCUUGAGAAAGCCAGGGGAUUGGACGGUGUCAUGGAAAUGUCAAAGAAAAAGUGACACCUGAGAGAAAAUUUGAAAGAUGAAAGGUGCACAUCAUGGAGACAAUCUGACUGGUACAGAGAAAUGAAGAGACAACAUUUUCUUUCCAAAUCUGAGUGGAGAUACUCAGAGUUUCUUCUCAAAUGUACACUGAUAAAUACUCAACUGAAGAUUCAACUGAAAUCCUCUAUGGGUCUCCAGACUCCCCCAUUCUGGAACUCUUCCCUGCAAAUUCCAGCUGCCUAAACUCCCUUCCAUCUCUCAGUUUCUCUAUAACUGAGGAACACCGUCAGGCUCCAGCUGGAUUUUCCUUCCUUGUGCACUGAUCUGGAAAGUCUUUCACAUCAGUAAGUGAGGGAAAUCAUAGAGUUCUCCUGGAUAGAAGAGGCCCUGGUUAGCAGCUUCAGAUGAUGGAUACAUAAAAAUGGGAGAGAGAAAACAUAUAAGAGUGACUAAUUGUUGAGUUUCCAGGGCUCAAACCAAUCUUGAAUUGGAAUUUCAAGACAUAAAAACCACUGCAGGAACCUGCUGGAGAAACGGCCUCUGUCAUCUCAUGAUCAGAUAUGUUGCCAUUUAUAGGAUGUUUGUAUUCCUGCUUUUCUCCAAUAUACUAAAUAUUGUUGUGGGAUCACAUGAUCAAAUGAAGAUUAUGACAGAAGAAUCUAACUGUAUUACAAAUGUGUGAAACAGCCUUGUUGAAAGGAGUCGGGGUAAAGUGCUGACCUAAUUAACCUUGGAAAUAAGAUGUGCAAGAAUAAGGUUAACAGACCUCAACGCAAGCACUGUGCUGUAGUUGAUAAAGCUGUACAUAGUGGCUUCCUUUUAAAGAGUAUAACGUGGAAAGAUUGAAAAAGAGUAACUUUACAGUGGAGAAAAUGGACAACGAUGUUGCAGCCAGGCAAUCCACGGUAAUAUCAGCAGUGACAAGGUAUGCUGACAGGAUGCACUCUCCUUGGUAUUUAAGGAAAGAUUGUUAUCCACCCAAAAGCCCAUAACCCCCUUUUAACCACAAGGUUAAACAUCAGGCCACUUCACUAGAUGCACGUUCUCAGCUUGUGCCCAUCUCAAGUACCAUCACUGUGGUCUCGCCUGGUACUCUUUUUGUUUUUUUUUCCCACAGUGGCCAGACAGGCCCUUUUCCGAUUCUCCAUACACACUUGAGAGUGGAUUGUAAUGUUGAACAAGGAAGAGAGAUAGGAAAAAAAAAAAAAAAAACUAUGCAGCCUAGAACAUUGCUUCUAAACAUGUCCAUGCUCACAGAUCUGCCGGGGUCAGACUCCUCAUAGAUGCAGCUCACCUGACUUCUCAGGAAGCCCUCAGAUGAGUUUCACUAGUGAUGGGGCAAAUUGAAACUGCUACAUAUUGAGAAUGGGAACUGGCUCAGAGAGUGUGGAUUUCUCUCUUGAAGUCUGGUUUUCACUCUGUCAUUGACUGAAUAUAAAUGUGUCUUGAUUUUCUGUGUGCACCAAAGAAUACUUCCCCAACAGUUCACUCUGCAGCUUUCUGUCAGUGAAAACCCAGACCAACAAUUAAGAAAAUGUCCCACAAAGGGAAUUAAUGAGAAGAGUUUCCUCCUUUCUUGGCUCCAGAAAACCUGGCCCAAGAGAGCUGUGUCAAUAAGUCUCAUACAUUUCGGUUUCUUUUGGUGGGGGUGGCAGGAAGGAUGUUGGUAUAUUUGUUUUCUAUUGCUGCUAUAACAAAUUAUCAUAAACUUGGUGCUUAAAAUGGCAUGACUUUAUUAUAGUUUUGAAGGUGAGGAGUCUAAAAUCUGUUUCACCAGGCCAAAAGUCAAGGUGGUCAGCAGGCCUGGGUUCCUUGUGGAGACUCUGUGAGCAAAUCUAUUUUCUUGCCUUUUCCAGCCUAUUCUAGAGGCUGCCUGCAUUUCUUGGCUCGGGGCUGCCUUUCUCCAUCUUCAAAGCCAGCAACAGAAGGGCCCCACCUUCUCAAUGCUGCUGCCAUGUCUGAUUCUCUUCAGCUGGCUAACUCUUUCCUUUAAAGGACUCAUAUGAUUAGAUUGGGCCUACCUGGGUAAUCCCAGCUACUCUCCCCAUCUGUAGGUUCUUAACCUUAAUGACAUAUGCAAAGUACCUUUUGCCAUGUAAGAUAACAUUCACAAGUUCUUAGAAUUACAGCAUAGUUAUCGUUGGGGGCCACUGUUUUGCUAUCACACUGCAGCAUUUUAGAUUUAAAUACAUCUGCAAUUACUCCCUGCUUAUCACCUCCCACAGGCCUUUCAAACACAUAAUCCACAAAAUUAGCCUUCCACCUGAUGUGCUUCUUCCUUGUUUGCAGGUAUCAUCUCCAUCCAACAACCUAGUUUACAGAUUGAGAAUAGUUUUCUGUAAUCCUUCAUUAGAUUGGCAAAUCUGCUGAUUUUAAUUCCUAAAUAUCUUUCCAAUCAUUUCAUUUUUAAAAUAAAA
RNAcentral lists this long non-coding RNA (3157 nucleotides) under Homo sapiens (human). Its description in RNAcentral is "HSALNT0339408". The record is from RNAcentral. Lineage: Eukaryota; Metazoa; Chordata; Mammalia; Primates; Hominidae.